AACGAACGCUGGCGGCAGGCCUAACACAUGCAAGUCGAGCGCCCGGAUUUAUCCGGGAGCGGCGCACGGGUGAGUAACGCGUGGGAACAUGCCCUGAAGUACGGAACAACCUGGGGAAACCUUGGCUAAUACCGUAUACUCCCUGAUGGGGAAAGAUUUAUCGCUUUGGGAUUGGCCCGCGUUGGGUUGGCUGGUUGUUGUGGUAACGGCGCACCAAGGCGACGAUACAUAACUGGGCUAAGAGGAUGACCAGUCACCCCGGGUCUGAGACACGGCCCAGACGCCUACGGGAGGCAGCAGUGGGGAAUAUUGGACAAUGGCGAAAGCCUGAUCCAGCCAUGCCGCGUGAGUGAAGAAGGCCUUCGGGUUGUAAAGCUCUUUCAGCGGGGACGAUGAUGACGGUACCCGCAGAAGAAGCCCCGGCUAACUUCGUGCCAGCCGCCGCAGUAA
Molecule: ribosomal RNA, 450 nt
Filed under: uncultured bacterium
Lineage: Bacteria
Description: partial 16S ribosomal RNA
Rfam family: Bacterial small subunit ribosomal RNA
Source: RNAcentral